Molecule: ribosomal RNA, 765 nt
Filed under: uncultured Glomus
Lineage: Eukaryota; Fungi; Glomeromycota; Glomeromycetes; Glomerales; Glomeraceae
Description: SSU rRNA
Rfam family: Eukaryotic small subunit ribosomal RNA
Source: RNAcentral
UACCAUGGUUUUAACGGGUAACGGGGAAUUAGGGUUCGAUUCCGGAGAGGGAGCCUAAGAAACGGCUACCACAUCCAAGGAUGGCAGCAGGCGCGCAAAUUACCCAAUCCCGACACGGGGAGGUAGUGACAAUAAAUAACAAUACGGGGUUCUUUAGGAUCUCGUAAUUGGAAUGAGUACAAUUUAAAUCUCUUAACGAGGAACAAUUGGAGGGCAAGUCUGGUGCCAGCAGCCGCGGUAAUUCCAGCUCCAAUAGCGUAUAUUAAAGUUGUUGCAGUUAAAAAGCUCGUAGUUGAAUUUCGGGGUCAGUAGGUCGGUCGUGCCACUGGUAUGAACUGGUUUUACUGAUUCCUCCCUCUUGAAGAACUGUAAUGCCAUUAAUUUGGUGUUGCAGGGAAUCAGGACUGUUACUUUGAAAAAAUUAGAGUGUUUAAAGCAGGCUUUAGCUUGAAUACAUUAGCAUGGAAUAAUGAAAUAGGACGUUUGAUCCUAUUUUGUUGGUUUCUAGGAUUGACGUAAUGAUUAAUAGGGAUAGUUGGGGGCAUUAGUAUUCAAUUGUCAGAGGUGAAAUUCUUGGAUUUAUUGAAGACUAACUACUGCGAAAGCAUUGGCCAAGGAUGUUUUCAUUAAUCAAGAACGAAAGUUAGGGGAUCGAAGACGAUCAGAUACCGUCGUAGUCUUAACCAUAAACUAUGCCGACUAGGGAUCGGAUGGUGUUAAUUUUUUAAUGACUCAUUCGGCGCCUUACGGGAAACCAAAGUGUUU